This 586-nucleotide ribosomal RNA is filed under the name uncultured bacterium. RNAcentral describes it as "partial 16S ribosomal RNA". It matches the Rfam family "Bacterial small subunit ribosomal RNA", at positions 355 to 937 of the family's 1533-position model. The record is from RNAcentral.
UGGGGAAUAUUGGACAAUGGGCGCAAGCCUGAUCCAGCAAUGCCGCGUGUGUGAAGAAGGCCUUCGGGUUGUAAAGCACUUUUAUCAGGAGCGAAACGCUGUCGGCUAAUACCCGGCGGAACUGACGGUACCUGAGGAAUAAGCACCGGCUAACUUCGUGCCAGCAGCCGCGGUAAUACGAAGGGUGCAAGCGUUAAUCGGAAUUACUGGGCGUAAAGCGUGCGUAGGCGGUUUCUUAAGUCUGCUGUGAAAUCCCCGGGCUCAACCUGGGAAUGGCAGUGGAUACUGGGAGGCUAGAGUGUGUCAGAGGGUGGUGGAAUUCCCGGUGUAGCGGUGAAAUGCGUAGAGAUCGGGAGGAACAUCAGUGGCGAAGGCGGCCACCUGGGGCAACACUGACGCUGAGGCACGAAAGCGUGGGGAGCAAACAGGAUUAGAUACCCUGGUAGUCCACGCCCUAAACGAUGCGAACUGGAUGUUGGUCUCAACUCGGAGAUCAGUGUCGAAGCUAACGCGUUAAGUUCGCCGCCUGGGGAGUACGGUCGCAAGACUGAAACUCAAAUGAAUUGACGGGGUCAUAGCUGUUUCC